RNAcentral lists this unclassified non-coding RNA (22 nucleotides) under Mus musculus (house mouse). RNAcentral describes it as "oocyte_clustered_small_RNA1528". Lineage: Eukaryota; Metazoa; Chordata; Mammalia; Rodentia; Muridae. The record is from RNAcentral.
AUGUAGCCUGGCGCCUUUGCUC